Molecule: ribosomal RNA, 253 nt
Filed under: uncultured bacterium
Lineage: Bacteria
Description: partial 16S ribosomal RNA
Rfam family: Bacterial small subunit ribosomal RNA
Source: RNAcentral
UACCGAGGGGGCAAGCGUUAUUCGGAAUUAUUGGGCGUAAAGGGCGCGUAGGCGGCCAUUCGAGUGACGGGUGAAAGCCCUCGGCUUAACCGAGGAACUGCCUGUCAGACUGGAUGGCUUGAGACCGGGAGAGGUGAGUGGAAUUCCCAGUGUAGCGGUGAAAUGCGUAGAUAUUGGGAGGAACACCAGUGGCGAAGGCGGCUCACUGGACCGGCAUUGACACUGAGGAGCGAAAGCCAGGGGAGCAAACGGG